Molecule: ribosomal RNA, 524 nt
Filed under: Capnocytophaga sp. 22t
Lineage: Bacteria; Pseudomonadati; Bacteroidota; Flavobacteriia; Flavobacteriales; Flavobacteriaceae
Description: bacterial SSU rRNA
Rfam family: Bacterial small subunit ribosomal RNA
Source: RNAcentral
UACGGGAGGCAGCAGUGAGGAAUAUUGGUCAAUGGUCGGAAGACUGAACCAGCCAUGCCGCGUGCAGGAAGACGGCCUUAUGGGUUGUAAACUGCUUUUGCAAGGGAAGAAUAAGCUCUACGAGUAGAAAAAAGACGGUACUUUGCGAAUAAGCAUCGGCUAACUCCGUGCCAGCAGCCGCGGUAAUACGGAGGAUGCGAGCGUUAUCCGGAAUCAUUGGGUUUAAAGGGUCUGUAGGCGGGUUGUUAAGUCAGGGGUGAAAGUUUGCGGCUUAACCGUAAAAUUGCCUUUGAUACUGGCUAUCUUGAAUUAUUGUGAAGUUGUUAGAAUGUGUAGUGUAGCGGUGAAAUGCAUAGAUAUUACACAGAAUACCGAUUGCGAAGGCAGAUGACUAACAAUAGAUUGACGCUGAGAGACGAAAGCGUGGGGAGCAAAGAGGAUUAGAUACCCUGGUAGUCCACGCUGUAAACUAUAGAGACUAGCUGUUUGGCAUUAUAGUUGAGUGGCUAAGCGAAAGUGAUAAG